This 295-nucleotide unclassified non-coding RNA is filed under the name rhizosphere metagenome. RNAcentral describes it as "partial ribosomal RNA internal transcribed spacer region". The record is from RNAcentral.
GUAGGUGAACCUGCGGAAGGAUCAUUAUUGAAUAAACCUGAUGUGACUGUUAGCUGGCUUUUCGAAGCAUGUGCUCGUCCAUCAUCUUUAUCUCUCCACCUGUGCACAUUUUGUAGUCUUGGAUACCUCUCGAGGAAACUCGGAUUUGAGGAUCGCCGUGCUGUACAAGUCGGCUUUUCUUUCAUUUCCAAGACUAUGUUUUUAUAUACACCAAAGUAUGUUUAUAGAAUGUCAUCAAUGGGAACUUGUUUCCUAUAAAAUUAUACAACUUUCAGCAACGGAUCUCUUGGCUCUC